CGAACCGUCCAAACGUUAUUCGGAAUCACUGGGCUUAAAGAGUUCGUAGGCGGCUCAGAAAGUAGGGUGUGAAAUCCCACGGCUUAACCGUGGAACUGCGCCCUAAACUACUGAGCUUGAGGGAGCUAGAGGUAAGCGGAACUGAUGGUGGAGCGGUGAAAUGCGUUGAUAUCAUCAGGAACACCGGAGGCGAAGGCGGCUUACUGGGGCUUUUCUGACGCUGAGGAACGAAAGCCAGGGUAGCGAACGGGAUUAGAUACCCCGGUAGUCCUGGCCGUAAACGAUGAGCACUGAGCCGGAGGCCUGCACAGGUUUCCGGCUGUAGCGAAAGUGUUAAGUGCUCCGCCUGGGGAGUAUGGUCGCAAGGCUG
RNAcentral lists this ribosomal RNA (370 nucleotides) under uncultured organism. RNAcentral's name for it is "bacterial SSU rRNA". It matches the Rfam family "Bacterial small subunit ribosomal RNA", at positions 526 to 896 of the family's 1533-position model. The record is from RNAcentral.